RNAcentral lists this ribosomal RNA (465 nucleotides) under Vreelandella stevensii. RNAcentral describes it as "partial 16S ribosomal RNA". It matches the Rfam family "Bacterial small subunit ribosomal RNA", at positions 338 to 795 of the family's 1533-position model. The record is from RNAcentral. Lineage: Bacteria; Pseudomonadati; Pseudomonadota; Gammaproteobacteria; Oceanospirillales; Halomonadaceae.
CCUACGGGUGGCAGCAGUGGGGAAUAUUGGACAAUGGGCGAAAGCCUGAUCCAGCCAUGCCGCGUGUGUGAAGAAGGCCUUCGGGUUGUAAAGCACUUUCAGUGGGGAAGAAAGCCUUGGGGCUAAUACCCUCGAGGAAGGACAUCACCCACAGAAGAAGCACCGGCUAACUCCGUGCCAGCAGCCGCGGUAAUACGGAGGGUGCGAGCGUUAAUCGGAAUUACUGGGCGUAAAGCGCGCGUAGGCGGUCUGAUAAGCCGGUUGUGAAAGCCCCGGGCUCAACCUGGGAACGGCAUCCGGAACUGUCAGGCUAGAGUGCAGGAGAGGAUGGUAGAAUUCCCGGUGUAGCGGUGAAAUGCGUAGAGAUCGGGAGGAAUACCAGUGGCGAAGGCGGCCUUCUGGACUGACACUGACGCUGAGGUGCGAAAGCGUGGGUAGCAAACAGGAUUAGAUACCCUAGUAGUC